UACGUAGGGUGCGAGCGUUGUCCGGAAUUACUGGGCGUAAAGAGCUCGUAGGUAGUUUGUCGCGUCGUCUGUGAAAUUCCGGGGCUUAACUUCGGGCGUGCAGGCGAUACGGGCAAUACUUGAGUGCUGUAGGGGAGACUGGAAUUCCUGGUGUAGCGGUGGAAUGCGCAGAUAUCAGGAGGAACACCGAUGGCGAAGGCAGGUCUCUGGGCAGUAACUGACGCUGAGGAGCGAAAGAAUGGGUAGCGAACAGGAUUAGAUACCCCCGUA
Molecule: ribosomal RNA, 270 nt
Filed under: uncultured prokaryote
Description: partial 16S ribosomal RNA
Rfam family: Bacterial small subunit ribosomal RNA
Source: RNAcentral